Emys orbicularis (European pond turtle) is the source of this 489-nucleotide non-coding RNA. The record is from the annotation of a RefSeq genome assembly. Lineage: Eukaryota; Metazoa; Chordata; Testudines; Emydidae.
AUGGGAUUUUUCCUCCUUGUAAUUUUCGCUGUAGCAGCUUUGAAAGGUGUCCGGUCCCAGGUGCAGCUGGUGGAGUCCGGAGCGGAUGUGAAAAAGCCCGGAGACUCUCUCCGCCUGUCCUGCAAAGCCUCCGGCUUCACCUUCAGCAGCUAUUACAUGAGCUGGGUCCGACAGGCUCCUGGGAAGGGGCUGGAGUGGGUCUCAGGCAUUUAUAGUGAUGGGAGCCAACAAUUUUAUGCAGACUCAGUGAAAGGCCGAUUCACCAUCUCCAGAGACAACUCCAACAACCUGCUGUAUCUGCAAAUGACCGGCCUGAAGCCUGAGGACACCGCCCGCUAUUACUGUGCGAGAGACACAGUGAAACAAAACCGGUUUGUGAUCAUACAAAAACCCAGGCUGCGGAAUCACCCUUCUCCCGACAGCCGCGCGGGGGCAGCAGUGACACACACACCGCUUCGGGCUCCGACAGGAGACCCGGCAACCAGGUGA